This 489-nucleotide ribosomal RNA is filed under the name uncultured bacterium. RNAcentral describes it as "partial 16S ribosomal RNA". It matches the Rfam family "Bacterial small subunit ribosomal RNA", at positions 28 to 507 of the family's 1533-position model. The record is from RNAcentral.
GAUGAACGCUAGCUACAGGCUUAACACAUGCAAGUCGAGGGGCAGCAUGAUUGAAGCUUGCUUCAAUCGAUGGCGACCGGCGCACGGGUGAGUAACACGUAUCCAACCUGCCGAUAACUCGGGGAUAGCCUUUCGAAAGAAAGAUUAAUACCCGAUAGUAUAGUAUUUCCGCAUGGUUUCACUAUUAAAGAACUUCGGUUAUCGAUGGGGAUGCGUUCCAUUAGAUAGUUGGCGGGGUAACGGCCCACCAAGUCAACGAUGGAUAGGGGUUCUGAGAGGAAGGUCCCCCACAUUGGAGCUGAGACACGGUCCAAACUCCUACGGGAGGCAGCAGUGAGGAAUAUUGGUCAAUGGACGAGAGUCUGAACCAGCCAAGUAGCGUGAAGGAUGACUGCCCUAUGGGUUGUAAACUUCUUUUAUACGGGAAUAAAGUGGAGUAUGCAUACUCCUUUGUAUGUACCGUAUGAAUAAGGAUCGGCUAACUCCGUG